Long non-coding RNA from Patella vulgata (common limpet), 848 nucleotides. RefSeq lists it as uncharacterized. The transcript is spliced from 6 exons. NCBI's taxonomy places the organism in Eukaryota, Metazoa, Mollusca, Gastropoda, Patellidae. The record is from RefSeq and is a predicted model, not a curated record.
UAAGUAGCGUUGUUGUUGGUCUAUAACAACAUAAUAGUGAUCAGUAACAGAAUUUGGAUAUAAGGAUAAAGUUGUAUUUGGAUAGUACAAGCACCAUGCUAAAUGUUGAGAAAUUAAACCGAGGUUUAACCCCAUCGUUUGCCUACCGAACAUACCAUCUUCCGUCUAUAGAUAAACAGUCUUGUGGUCUAGACGACACAUUUGAAGACUGUAGUUAUCCUAGUUAUAUAUUUAAUGCUGAUUCAGUGAAUUCCAUAGAUCCCAUCAAUUAUUUACCUAGUGUACAUAUUAAAGAUAUCAAAUUCUUUGAUAAAGCUAAAAAUAUGUCUAACCCUAAUUUCAUUGCCCAGUACAGAGAACCAAGUCUUUCUCCUUCUAGACACCCAGGUUAUAAGUUAAUGCGCCCAGAAUAUAGACCAGGUUUCCUCACAAGUCGUUCAAAUACACAAUACGGAGAUAUGGCUGCAACAUCUAGAGCUAUGAGAAAUAUGGCCACCGAUGACAUAGCUCUUUACAGACCUGGACGUAUAGCGCCAAGUGAAAGAAGCAGUCGUCCCCUUGCCCGUCAUCAAGCAAGAUUUAGAAGUAUAUCAAAUAACGAUGAUUAUAUCCACAGUCGUGGAGUUUUUACGUCUACCACACCGAAUGUCACAGGUCAUUUUAUCAUCCACCCGGACUGGGUUUCUGAAAGAAUGACUCCAAGGAAAUAACUACACACUUAUUACAAUGGAAUUUUUAAGUUAUCUAUAUAGAAAUUAUUAUUUGCAUUGAAAUUAUUAUUUGUAUUGAAAUUAUUAUUUGCAUUGAAAUUAUUAAACAUUAUAUAAACGCAUUAAAAAAGUUUAUUA